Molecule: transfer RNA, 78 nt
Filed under: Lactobacillus gasseri 224-1
Lineage: Bacteria; Bacillati; Bacillota; Bacilli; Lactobacillales; Lactobacillaceae
Description: tRNA-Val
Rfam family: tRNA
About the family: Transfer RNA (tRNA) molecules are approximately 80 nucleotides in length. Their secondary structure includes four short double-helical elements and three loops (D, anti-codon, and T loops). Further hydrogen bonds mediate the characteristic L-shaped molecular structure. tRNAs have two regions of fundamental functional importance: the anti-codon, which is responsible for specific mRNA codon recognition, and the 3' end, to which the tRNAs corresponding amino acid is attached (by aminoacyl-tRNA synthetases). tRNAs cope with the degeneracy of the genetic code in two manners: having more than one tRNA (with a specific anti-codon) for a particular amino acid; and 'wobble' base-pairing, i.e. permitting non-standard base-pairing at the 3rd anti-codon position.
Source: RNAcentral
UGGAGGAUUAGCUCAGCUGGGAGAGCAUCUGCCUUACAAGCAGGAGGUCACAGGUUCGAGCCCUGUAUCCUCCAUUGA